RNAcentral lists this ribosomal RNA (484 nucleotides) under uncultured bacterium. RNAcentral's name for it is "partial 16S ribosomal RNA". It matches the Rfam family "Bacterial small subunit ribosomal RNA", at positions 30 to 507 of the family's 1533-position model. The record is from RNAcentral.
AUUGAACGCUGGCGGCAGGCCUAACACAUGCAAGUCGAGCGGAUGAAGGGAGCUUGCUCCUGGCUUCAGCGGCGGACGGGCGAGUAAUGCCUAGGAAUCUGCCUGGUCGUGGGGGAUAACGUCCGGAAACGGGCGCUAAUACCGCAUCCGUCCUGAGGGUGAAAGUGGGGGUUCUUCGGACCUCACGCUAUCAGCUGAGCCUAGGUCGGAUUAGCUAGUUGGUGGGGUAAAGGCCUACCAAGGCGACGAUCCGUAACUGGUCUGAGAGGAUGAUCAGUCACACUGGAACUGAGACACGGUCCAGACUCCUACGGGAGGCAGCAGUGGGGAAUAUUGGACAAUGGGCGAAAGCCUGAUCCAGCCAUGCCGCGUGUGUGAAGAAGGUCUUCGGAUUGUAAAGUACUUUAAGUUGGGAGGAAGGACAGUAAGUGAAUACCUUGCUGUUUUGACGGUACCAACAGAAUAAGCACCGGCUAACUUCGUG